UCCUCCUGCUCGGCCACCACUGCUACUGCUGCCGCCGCCGAGUUUUUCACUCAGCCUCCCCUGCCGUAAAGCGCCGUCGCUGUUACCCCCCGGUAAAGUUUCCUGUCCCUAGUUUUACGACACUUCCCUGCCUAGCGGCUUCCCGAGUACUCAAAAGGAAAGAGAGGAGGAGUAGGAGGGACAGACCCACCUGAGCGGGUGCUAGUGGAAAUGUAUCACUGAAAAUGAAGUCUUAAAGUACAAAUCUGAGUAAUAACAUUUGAAUCAUGAAAUAUUAAUGACCCAACACAUUUAAGGAAGCUCUGGAUUUUGGAAAUGGAAUUUCUGUGACUUUUCAUUUUGUGAGACGAGGCAUUGGGACCCCACAUUUCCAGAAUUGGCUGUGGAGACCCCAACUCCAGACAAGAAAUUUUCACUGGCUGUGAUAGUCAACCAGGUGGCCACAGUUCCCCAGAAGCAAAAGCCUGCUGGGUACUAUAACCCUCUAGAACAAGCACUGGAAAGCUGUGAAUUGCUAAACUGAGGAACAGAGGGAGUCGCAUAGGACAUCAGUAAAGUACAUGCAUCAAUGCUGUGAACCUUGAAGGCUUCUAGAUGCUGAUAACAAAGGCAGUUACACAGUAACAGUAGUAGUAGCAGUGUUGGGCUGGUGACAAGCAAAGCAACAAGAAAGCAUCAGCUCUGGAAAGAGAGACCACCAGAAGAAGAUCCCAUUUGGUGUCUGACCAUAAAAUGCUAGUACAAACAGCUAGCUAUGUUCCAAUGAAGCUUAAGCAUAUAAUAUUAGUAGUGAUAAAUUACUGAAUUCUGUUCUAAAUAUUCUAUAAUUUUUAUUGCUUGACAUUUCUUUUUC
Long non-coding RNA from Dromiciops gliroides (monito del monte), 853 nucleotides. RefSeq lists it as uncharacterized. NCBI's taxonomy places the organism in Eukaryota, Metazoa, Chordata, Mammalia, Microbiotheria, Microbiotheriidae. The transcript has 5 exons. The record is from RefSeq and is a predicted model, not a curated record.